Molecule: long non-coding RNA, 4422 nt
Organism: Vespula vulgaris
Lineage: Eukaryota; Metazoa; Arthropoda; Insecta; Hymenoptera; Vespidae
Exons: 2
Source: RefSeq, a predicted model, not a curated record
UCCUCCUCCUCCUCCUCCUCCUCCUUCUACUCUCCUCCACGCAUUGGCUUUUCAGAUCAGAAAAGAGCUGCUCCUCCGAUGCGAACUUCUUCUUCCUCCUCCUCCUCCUCCUUCUCCUCCUCCUCCCGCUUCUUCUCCUCCUCCUCGGCUUCUUCUUCUCGAAUCCCCUUGACGCAACCUGGACAAGACGUAGUCGCUUUGGCGCAUACGUUCACGAUGACGUCAUCGGUUCUUUUGCUCCUCUACGCUUCUCCUCCCUUCUCCUUCUCUCUCUCUCUCUCUCUUUCUCUGUCUCUCUCUCUCUGUCUCUCUGUUUGUCUGCCUGUCUCUGUGUGUGUGUGUCUAUCUCUCUCCCUCUCUCUUUUUUCUUCUAUCUCCUUCUACUUUGAUCGAGCUAUAUAGGUCGAUCGACGCGUGAUUUGGCGAAUAUACCGCGAGCAUAUCCUCGAAUGACAAAAAGCACGAUAAGAGAGUUUCGUCAUUACCCACUCGUUACUUCUUCUUCUUCUUCUUCUCCUUCUCUUUCCUCUUUCCCCUCUCUUCUUUCCUUUUCUCGACUUCGAUCACGUUCUUCACCGUCGUCGAAAGGAUGACUCCAUCUGUAAAAUUUUUCGUGAUCGUCUUCCAAGAUCAUUCUACAAAACAGACUGUUCGCGAUCGAUUUUCUUCGUGAGAAUUUUACAGCUGAAGGAGGAGCAGGAGGAGGAGGAGGAGGGGGAGAAGGAGAAGGAGUUGUAACGUCGAAAGGAAGGGAAUGUUUCGCUAGGAAAAAGAAAAGGAAAAAGAAAGAGGAAAGGAGAGGAAAGAAAAGAGGGAGGCGAGAAUCGUCGCUGCAACAGGCUGCUGCAGCGAGGAGGCAACGGAGCAUAGAGAAAAUAUUUGUCCGAAGGGAAAAGCGAGGCUCGAGUUCGAACGAGUAAUUACCGGCGACCUUGGGAUCCAUUCAUCGUUCGGCUCUUCGGCCGUAUAUAGGACGCCGCCGGAUUUGGUAGGCAAAUGAGCCGAAAUUGAGAAGCGCUCGCACGAAUCGACGGAGACGUGUCUGUGGUGUGAGACGGGUCUAAAGAGAAAGAGAGAAAGAGAAAGAAAGGGAAAACGACAGAGAGAGAAAGAGAGAGAGAGAGAGAGAGAGAGAGAGAUAGAGAAAGAUUAAGAAAGAGGGAGAGAGAGAGAGAGAGAUAGAGAUAGAGAAAGGUUAAGGGAGGGAUCGAGAACGAUAGGAGAAGAGAGAUAAAGUGAGGGUGAUGGAAAGCUUGUAUUUUGUUCCGGUCAAAAUACACGUUGGAGGAACGAUCGGUAGGCCGCAAUCAUUUCCCCAUUAUUCAAGAACCGCAGAAAAAGAUAAAAGAGAGAAAGAUAGAGAGACAAGGCGAGAGAGAGAGAGAGAGAGAGAGAGAGAGAGAGAGAGAGAGAGAGAGAGAGAAAGGAGUAGAGAGAGGAAGAAAUGAGAGAACAACGGAACCGCCCAUUUCCAUGGUCCCUCGUAGCAAUCACUCUAACGGAGCUAUGGCUCUUUGAUACACCACUUAGUCCUUUCGAUUCUUGAUGAGAGGAUAUAGUGAGACCUCUUGAAACGUUGCGAUGUAUACGUAUAUAUGAGUAUGUAUAGAUAUGUACACGCGUAUAUGAUAGUGGUACGUAUGUGUAUAUACGUAUGUGAUAUGCUUCGAAAGAUGAAGUCGCUUCUUAAUUGUGUUCUCAACGUGUAUGUGGAAUUGUAUUUUAUUAGCACCUCCUAGAAAUAUCUCGUUACUCGUAUCGGAAAGUAAUCGAUCUUGAUAAUGGAUAUAUCUCAAUGAUAUCGGAGUAGAGAGAAAUAAUGUAUAAGAAAAAAAAAAAAAAUAGGAAAAAGGGAGAAGGAAAGAAAAAAUGAAAAAAAAGAAACCGAAAGAGAUGAAUAAAAAUAAAAGGAACGAGAAGAAAUAAGAGAAAAAAUGAAAGACAAAAGGCAAUCGUCUUGGCCGAUCUCGUAGUGUGUCCGGUCGGUUGCCGGGCGCUGAUUGGUCGGACACCGGCUACUGGACCCGGUUGACCCUUAACCCCAACAACUCGCUCCGCUUUAUCGUCUGGAAUUGCUGUGUUGGUGGCGAGUUGGUACAACAACGGCACGUUGUGCUCUAGCUCUCGACCGCUGUGAUCGGUGUGCGCGAGCGCGCACGAGAUGAGAGAGGUGGUGGAGAGAUGAGGUGGUACGAGGUGAAGCGAAAAGAGAGACUAGUAGGAGAGAGAGAGAGAGAGAGAGAGAGAGAGAGAGAGAGAGAGAGAGAGCCGCGAUCGUCGUACAUACGUACACGCGACGCAUUUAUAAGAGCCGUACUACUCGCGCGCACGGUGGGAGCGGAAUUCUGUGCUGAGCGACAAACAAUUGCCGCCAAGUGGCUUAAUUGUAGCCAACUAAACAAAUGUUCCAACCGUAUCUCCCCAACGUGUUCUUCGCUUCUCCCUUUCUCUCUCUCUCUCUGUCUCUGUCUUUUUCUCUUUAUCUCUUUCUCUCUCUCGCUCUCUUUUUCUGUUUAUCUCUCUCUCUUUCUCUCUCUCUCUCUCUCUCUCUCUCUCUCUCUCUCUCUCUCUCUCGUUUUUUCCCUUCUUUUUUCCGAGAGAACGAUGCUUUCCUCGGUCCAGGACGAUUCCAAAUGUUUCUUUUCCUCUCUUUUUUUUUCUCUUUAUCUAUCUUUCUCACUGUAUAGGCCCGGUUUUCAAGGCUCGCCAAUGAGAGCAAGAGGAACUCUCGCGAUUAUUGCCUUCUCUCUUUUCCUCCUACCAUAUCCUUUCUUCUGCAACGAGUCGACGUAACUCGCUCGUUCCCACGUAGAUACACGGUUCGUAUGCAUAUUUUUCCAGGACGAUGACGACGAGAAUGACGAGGAGAAUGACGAUGACGAGAGCGACGACAGAGGGUGGGAGGGAGGGGGCGGGGAGAUGGGGGGAGGCGUUACGUCUCCUCGUAGACUCGUUUAGUCGCGUCAACUUUAACGCAACCUCGUGUUCGUACGCUUAUGCACAUAGGAAAGAAGAUAUAUAUAUAUAUACAUAUAUCUUAUAUUAUAUAUAUAUAUAUAUAAGAAAAAGAAGUUGUGCCUUCUCAGAGUAACGAUCGAGAUCUUGAGAUUUCCAGGAGUCUGCUGCAAAUCGUUUAUUUCAACGAACAGAAAGAAAGAACGGAAAGAGAAAGAGAAAGAAAGAGAAAGAAAUAAAAAGAGAGUUUACGAUGGCGAAUAAUUUGUUUCCUUGUUGACUUCUUGCUCUCGUCAUUUCCAUUCUCCUUGUUCGUUUUGAAAAUCAAGAUAUAGAGUACAGUAUUCGUUCUCUUAAAGCUUUUCUCCAGUAAAGCGUGGCCGCACCCGAGUAGGUGUAGGUAUACGAGUCUGACUACUGGCCGUGCCUCGUGCAGUGAGAUUCCCAUUUAUCAGGGUACAUCCGCCGGAAGUGGGGCGGCCCGUGCGUAGGUGAGAGACAGAGAGAAAGAAAGAGAGAGAGAAACAGAGACGAACAGAAUGCGAAAGAAAGAAGAGAAGCGGGCCGCUACCGUGCUCCCUGUGGAAAGAAAGAGAGAAUGAAACAAAAUGAGAGAGAAAGAAAAAAGAUAUUAAAAGAGAGAGAGAGAGAAAGAGAUUAUUUAUUGGUAACUGAAAUCGUUCUGUGCAAGAGGAACAUCAACGACGGAAUUAGAUUUCUCUCCGAAUUCUGAUCGAAGGAGACCGAGAAGGUGGAGGAUGAGUAGGAGGAAAAGGAGGAGGAGGAGGAGGAGGAGAAGGAGGGGUGGUCGGAUUUAAAGCAUUCAGCAACAGGUUGAAGCGAUCAGAUGGUGCUGCUAUUCGGGUGGAAACUCGCUAUAAUUGUCAUUUCCAAGCGCGGCGAUCGAUCAUCGCCAACUUUUCCCUCGAGGACGGUUCAAAUGGCUGAGUCGAUCUCUCUUCAGUAGGAAAAAAAUGUCGUCGAUAUCUACCGAUCAAUCGAUUCUUCAACUCUUUUCUUUCUUCUCUUCUUUCGUCUUUCUCUCUUCUUUUCUCUUCUGUUCUUUUUCCUUCUCUUUUCAUUCGACGAGAUAAAAAGUCGAUUUAUAUUUAUUAAUCUUCUUAUCUUGGAUUCAAAGGUGAGGUAGAUCCGUUCCGUAUAACCUACCACACUCCUUCUUUCGAUAUUCGCCUAACAUCGGCCAAGGAAAAGAAAUUUCGUUCGCUCGUUGCCAAUAAAUUCCAGCGAUUAUUAAACAGAUUCUCUGCCCCUUUUGAAUUUUACCUUCUACGGUAGUAGUAGAUAUAAUGCAGUCGAAAAGCUGAUACAUUCUGUAGGAUCAUCUCUCUCUGUCUCUUUUUCUCUCUUUCUCUCAUCUUUUUUCUGAACGAAGAGAGAAAUAAUUGAAUAUUCUUACGAGACGAUACUUAUAAAAAAUGUGAAAGAUAAUAAAGAUAUAUCCAACGA